Molecule: non-coding RNA, 787 nt
Filed under: Staphylinoidea sp. 1 KM-2017
Lineage: Eukaryota; Metazoa; Arthropoda; Insecta; Coleoptera
Source: RNAcentral
CCAAAAUUUUAUUUUGAUUUGAAUAAUGAGUCUUUUAUGUUUUUUACAUGUAAAUGUUAGUGUUUUUGGGCUCAAUUUUAAAUAAAUUGAAGAUGAAAGUUUUAAUACGCAGUAUUUUAUUUUGAAUAUUAAGGAAACUUAGAUUUAGAAAUUUAAUUUAAUAUUAACUAAAUUUGUGCCAGCAGUUGCGGUUAAACAGAUAAUAUAAUUUAUUAUUAUAAAUUUAUAAUUAAAAAGUAUUAAAGUAAAAAUUUAAGUUAAAUUUAUUAAGUGAAAUUUUAAAUUUUUAAAAAAUUUUUAUAUAGGUUUUUGAAGUUAUUAAAUUUCAUAAAAGACUAGGAUUAGAUACCCUAUUAUUUAAAUGUAAAAUAAAAAUUAGAUUAUUAGAAGAUAUAAACUUUAAAAUUAAAAAAUUUGGCGGUAUUUUAAUCUAUUCAGAGGAACCUGUCCUAUAAUUGAUAAUCCACGAUUAAAUUUACUUAAUUUAUUAAUUUGUAUAUCGUCGUAGUUGAAUAUUUUAUAAGAAUUUUUAAUAUUCAUAAUUUUUAAAGAAAAUAAAAAUCAGAUCAAGAUGCAGUUUAUAAUUAAGAAGAGAUGGGUUACAAAAAAGUUUAAUUUUUGGUUAUUAUUUUUUGAAAUUAAUAAAAAAUUGGAUUUGAUAGUAAUUAAGUUUAUUUAGAUUUAAUGAUUUUAGCUCUAAAAUAUGUACAUAUCGCCCGUCGCUCUCAUUUUAAGUUGAGAUAAGUCGUAACAAAGUAAUUGUACUGGAAAGUGUAGUUAGAAUUAC